UGGAUGUCAUCUAAGAAGAUUCUAGAAUUCUCACUCUCUAUGAAGUACAAAUGAGAGAAAGAAAAAGGGCUGUGGUGCUGACAGCUUUCAGGGAAUAAGAUGGAUUGGCCAGCAAGGUUUCAAUAGAGAGCCCUGGUCUAGGCUUGGAUAACCAGUGGGAUGCUGACGUGACUUGGUCUCUUCUGGUCAGAUCCCCACCAUGCAGGACACCAGGGAUUAGAGUUGUACCCUGCACCCUGGGGAAGUCACCAAACUCAGAUAUCAGGACUGUGUAGUGACUGUCAGAAGGCUGACCCCAAACUCUGAGAUUUCAAUCACUCCCAGGAAUUCCAUGGCAUGAGACUGCCAUCAGAGUAGCAGAGAGGCCAGACUUUGAGCUCACAAAGCCCAGGGUAGACACCAUUAAUGGGCUGGGCACCAGAAGACCCUCCACGAGUGUCUGCCAUGCAUCUGAAAAUAGGACAUGACGCUGAGUGGAGAGACAGCAAGAAGGCUCUGGAAAUUUUUUUGCCAGCUUAACAGAUAAUGUACAUAGAAUUAGAUUCAACUUGAGUUAUAGAGAAAAUAAGAGAUAAAAUAAAGAAAUGUAACAUUCUUUGCUUAUCCAACUUUCAAGAAUAAGAGCUAUUUUCCAUACAGUGGUGUUUGCCACUGAAGCGGAGAGUGGUAGUCAGCUUGGACUGCCAAACAAAAUAUCAUAGACUGGGUGGCUUGAACUACAAAUAUCUUUCUGACUGUUCUGGAGGCAGGGAAGUCCAAGGUACCGGCAAGGUCAUUGUGUCUAAGCCCAAAGCCAUGAGAUGGAGGAAUACACUCUUCCCUCAUUGAGGAGGGUUUCUGCAAGUGGAUUAAUCAGCCCUGUGUAUUCAUUCUACCACCAGAGCAACAAUUCAUUUUGAUUAUUAUGUUACGAAUACCAGCGACAUUCAAUAGACCUUGCAGAGAAAUGUAUAUGAGCUUGGGCAAAUAUCCACUGUAGCACACGAGACAGAUCAGAUAAUAAUAGCAGCUGCAGGUUCUGGAACAUCACAGAGUCCCUCCAUGAUACCCACUGAAUUGGAAUGUCAACCUGGUGAUGUAGUUCAUCCUUAUCACCUAAAAAAUUCUACAGUAAUGGCAAAUAUAGCACAUGUGUUUAAAAAUCAGUAUUCAUAUCACCUUUUGUACAGUCCAAAUAGCUUUAAUAGUGAAUGUCCAAGAGCCUUUACAUUAAUUGCUAAAUGCCGAUAGUAAGAAAGUAAAUGAAAUUUAACCCCAACCCUCCCUAGGGGCUGUGGGAUAUUUAAUAAUCCUAAGCCAAUUAAAAAUAGGCACAAAACCCUUAUUUUUUAUUUUCUCACUAAUAAACUACUGUCUCAAUGGGCCUCAGUUUACCACAAUUGAUUCUGAGUUAGGCAAGUUUUAAAUCAAAGCCUCAGUUGGUGGUUUGGUCAGCCUCUUGGUUGAACAAAGGGUCAUUUCCAUUUUUAUCACGUCCCCUCCACACUUCAAAUGAAAGAAACAAGAGCAGUGGGCUUUGCAGUUUGUGUGGCCAGGAUAUACCUGGCUGCCCCCAGGUGGCUCCAGCCAUGGGUCCUGCAUGGUCACAUCCAUGCUCCCCGCUAGCUCCCCGGCCAUUCUCACGACUUCAGCUUCUGGUAAUUUUAUGACAGAGUGAAUAAGGGAGAGGCACUAUUUCUAUUUUUUAAUGUCCUGUGUUGGACAUUAACUAGCAUCAUUUCUCCAUCUCCCCUGGAAACCCACUACUGUCUCCCUACUCAUGGAUAUAUUUGGGAUUGUAGCAAGAUGGAAACCAAGCCAGCGUGCUGCCUCCCUGCCGCGGACACUGCCAGUCCUCUUUCUCUGGGGAAAACUCCUUGCUGCUGCUUCUUCCUUUUCUCCCCCACCUGUUCUGAAAGGAACACAAAUGUCCUGAGUCCUCUAGUGAUGGGAAGAGAAUUGCAACUAGGCUGGUGCCUGUUCUUUGAGGAAGACAGCUGCCUUCCUGCCUGGCUUCAGCACCUGUCCCCAGUACACUGGUCUGUCGAGUUGGCCCAGAGGCAGCUUCACAUUUACAAGAACCACCAAGACUGUGCCAUCAAGAGAAACAGGGAAGACCUACGGCAUGUUUAUUCACAGUUGGUUGAGAAACAUCACAGAUGAAUGUGACUGUUAUUAGAAUUAUCCUCAUUAAUAGCAAUUGACAAGCAGUACCAUUAGCAGUACACAAGGCACAAAAUAAUUGAAAAGUACAUCUUUUUAAACAGAUUUUUGUUUCCCCAAGCCCAUUGUUACUCUGGAAAUUGCAACGGGCAACUUCUUUUUCAGGCAAUUUCCCUCCAUUACCCAGAGCAGGUGUAGCCUAAAAGAAAACAGUCACAGACUCGUUCGCAGCAAUAGG
RNAcentral lists this long non-coding RNA (2380 nucleotides) under Homo sapiens (human). RNAcentral's name for it is "HSALNT0399676". The record is from RNAcentral. Lineage: Eukaryota; Metazoa; Chordata; Mammalia; Primates; Hominidae.